Molecule: long non-coding RNA, 96 nt
Organism: Sinocyclocheilus grahami
Lineage: Eukaryota; Metazoa; Chordata; Actinopteri; Cypriniformes; Cyprinidae
Exons: 4
Source: RefSeq, a predicted model, not a curated record
UAGAAAAUGAAAUUGCUAAUUGUUUCGAUAAUAAUUAGUACGGGGAUUAGUAUAAUAGGUGUUCCUUCUGGUAAAAUGUCUCAUAAGGCGACUGUA